RNAcentral lists this ribosomal RNA (243 nucleotides) under uncultured bacterium. Its description in RNAcentral is "partial 16S ribosomal RNA". It matches the Rfam family "Bacterial small subunit ribosomal RNA", at positions 113 to 354 of the family's 1533-position model. The record is from RNAcentral.
CGGCGUGAGCAAUCUGCCUUGGAGUGGGGAAUAACGGUUGGAAACGGCUGCUAAUACCGCAUGACACAUAUUUAUCGCAUGGUAGAUAUUGUCAAAGAUUUAUCGCUGAGAGAUGGCCUCGCGUCUGAUUAGCUAGUUGGUAGGGUAACGGCCUACCAAGGCGACGAUCAGUAGCCGGACUGAGAGGUUGGCCCGGCCACAUUGGGACUGAGAUACGGCCCAGACUCCUACGGGAGGCAGCAG